RNAcentral lists this ribosomal RNA (253 nucleotides) under uncultured prokaryote. Its description in RNAcentral is "partial 16S ribosomal RNA". It matches the Rfam family "Bacterial small subunit ribosomal RNA", at positions 524 to 776 of the family's 1533-position model. The record is from RNAcentral.
UACGUAGGUGGCAAGCGUUAUCCGGAUUUACUGGGUGUAAAGGGCGUGUAGGCGGUCUCGCAAGUCGGAUGUGAAAUUCCCGGGCUUAACCCGGGAGCUGCAACCGAAACUGCGGGACUUGAGUGCUGGAGAGGAUAGUGGAAUUCCUAGUGUAGCGGUAAAAUGCGUAGAUAUUAGGAGGAACACCGGUGGCGAAGGCGACUAUCUGGACAGUAACUGACGCUGAGGCGCGAAAGCGUGGGGAGCAAACAGG